This 505-nucleotide ribosomal RNA is filed under the name uncultured bacterium. RNAcentral's name for it is "bacterial SSU rRNA". It matches the Rfam family "Bacterial small subunit ribosomal RNA", at positions 791 to 1304 of the family's 1533-position model. The record is from RNAcentral.
UAGUCCACGCCGUAAACGAUGAUCACUAGAUGUUGGCGAUACACUGUCAGUAUCUGAGCGAAAGCAUUAAGUGAUCCACCUGGGGAGUACGGUCGCAAGAUUGAAACUCAAAGGAAUUGACGGGGGCCCGCACAAGCGGUGGAGCAUGUGGUUUAAUUCGAUGGUACGCGAGGAACCUUACCUAGGCUUAAAUGUAGAUUGACGUAUUGGGAAACCAGUAUUUCUUCGGACAAUUUACAAGGUGCUGCAUGGUUGUCGUCAGCUCGUGCUGUGAAGUGUCGGGUUAAGUCCCAUAACGAGCGCAACCCCUAUCAUUAGUUGCUAACAUUUAGUUGAGGACUCUAAUGAAACUGCCCGCGUAAGCGUGGAGGAAGGUGGGGAUGACGUCAAAUCAUCACGGCCCUUACGUCUAGGGCUACACACGUGCUACAAUGGUAAAUACAGAGGGAAGCCAACUGGUAACAGUGAGCAGAUCCACAAAAUUUAUCUCAGUUCGGAUUGAGGU